AGGAAUUGAACUGGGAAUUAUUUAUUUAGGUUCAUAUAGUAGGGGAGUUUAGAGAAUAAUGGCUUGAUUCCUCAAAUGAACAGUUAAGAGCAAUAGAGCCAGAUAUAGGUCUCAGUUUCCCAUCAUGCUGGCCUCUGGAAAUUUAAAUAAAGCAAGCCAAAAAGGUAAAAAAUACCAAAAGUUGAAAAUUCCUCUAACUUAUUUCUUAAUUUUUGAAGGCAGCAGGCAGCAGCCAAAACAUACCACACAUCUACAGUGAGACGCUUACCACAACAAUUCUGUGAAAAAGGUGUGGAUGUUCCUAUUUCACAGAAAAGGAAAUAAAAGCUCAGAGGAACUAAAGAAUUUUCUACACGUCACCUGUUGGAAAGAUAUAUAAUAAUUCAAGUGCAAAUCCUGUGUCAACUUGUGGAAGACAAAAGCAUAUAAGACAUGGCUGUUGACCUAGUAAAGCUCACGGUAUCAUGGUAUACAAACAGGAGUAGAAAUGGCUGUAAUUCAAAGCCUUGGCUUACAGCAAAGAUGAAAGUCAGUUAAAAGGAAUAAAUCAUGCACCAAAACUUAAUGUUAAGUGUAUUAUUUAGAUUCCCUUAAAUAUUUCGUCUUUGGUAAAAUUUGCAGUUUCUACUGUUUCAUUCUUUUAAGUUUUAAACAAAAACUACAAACGGUCACAUAGAAUGACAGAAUUGACAUAACCCAGAUUUAAUUUCUUUUGUUUAUAUUCAUUGUGUUAUUAUUUAUUAUUUAUUUUGAAUCUACUUUUUAAUAUGUAGUAUCACAGGGGUUUGAGACAGGAACUGCAGAGGUUGGUUGAGCCCUUCUCAACCAUUGAAAAUUUACUAUUGCAGAAGAUGCAUGACUCAGAGUCUGCAUGUGUUGGAGAAGCCAGGAGGGAACUAUUGUAUAAUUAGUAUUUGUAGUAACAUCUUUGUUGAGUACAAUGCUUAUUAAAUACUAAGCAAAAAUCAUGUUGUAAGUCAAAGCUCAUGUAUUAAUAUAAUUAAUAGUUACCACAGCAUUUUUUUACAACUUAGAGGGGAAAAUGCCCCAUGUCCUCUUACUGGCAGAAAAGGUCACCUCUAACCACUAAGUCGGUUGGAGAGUUAUAUUCUCUUACUGCCAACACUGGGAAUGUGGAGUGCUCCAAUUUCCCACACUUGGUAUGCCACUCAAUCUACUUAUGCUGAUAACUAUCUAUGUAUUGUUGUGAAUUGGAUUUAUAGACUAGACUGCUGUUAUAUAAACUGUAAUGAUGUCCCAAAAGACAAGAUUAUUUUAGUGUAGUGCAUAGGAUCAGACAAGAAUGCAGCUAUAAUAACGCCAGAAGAACACAAGUUUAGCAAAUUGAACUCAAGGAACCCCUAGUAUUUCUUAGAAGUAGCUCAGUCUCUGGAAAAAGAACUAUCCAGUCUAAAUAUUUUAGUAAUUUGAAAAUACUGAAAAAAUCAUUUAUACAUUUUACUUUGUAUAACACGAAUUUCACAAGCUUCUUUAUGUGCUGAAAGAUUGCAAAAUAUUACUCUAUAAAAAAACUUAAAAUGUUGUUAACCAAGGCACCGAGGGCACCUAGUGACGCUUUACAUGAAUCAUAGUAAAAGUGUCCAGGAGGGGAAGAUAUUAUCUAUUAUGGACUGAAUUGUAUCUCCCCCAAAAUAUAAAUGUUAAAACCCUAACCUCCAAUAUGACUAAAUCUGAAAAUAAGAUCUUUAAGUAUUUAUGGAAUUAAGGUUAAAAGACAUCAUAAGAGUGGGACCAUAAUCCAAGAGCUGGUGUCCAUAUAAGAAGAGAUACACACCCUCUUUUUCCUCUCUCUCCCCACCCAACUCUGCAUGUACAGAGAGGAAGGACAUGUGAGCAUACAAAGAGAAGGCAGCCAUCCACAAGCCAGGAAGAGAGGCUUCACCAGAAAUAAACCUUGAUGACACCUUAAUUUUGGACUUUGAAAGGCUCCCAAAUGAUGAGAAAACAAAUUUAUGUUGUUUAAGCAGCUAUGAUGUGGCAUUUGUUAUGGUGUCCAAGCUGACUAAUACAUCAUCUUAAAUGUAAUACCCGCAAUUGUACCAUAAAUUAUAAUAAUUGAAGCUACUUCCAAAACUUGUGAAAACGGAACCAUAUAUCCAUGAAGCAUAUUUACUUCAUGUAUCUGCCCUUAGAACUAUGUCACAUAUUUGAAGAGUAACCAGACUUCAAGUCUAACUGUAUUCAGAACUCAUGAAUUAUUUGCAUUACCCAAUAAAAUCAAAUUAUUCAUUUGACAUUAGGAUAUUAAUAUUUCCCAGAUUACUGUAAACCUUUCAAAUUUCAUAACUUUUAUUUUAUAAUUAUGAUGCUUGAAGAGACAGUAUUUGUUUAUGGAUAAGAAAUCUGGGAUCCAGGGGGAAAUAAAAAAGAAAUAUCACACUCCUCAUAGUAGUGGGGAGAAGGCUAAAAUCCAGGUUUUCUAAUUCCCUGUCUAUCUUUAUUUGUUCUACAUCAAACUAUCUUUUAACUCUUACCAAUAUAAUCCUUUUUUUAGACAGCACAGGAAUUUCAAUAUUCCCAGACAAGCCAUGUUGAUUCAUGUUCCAAAAUGCUAUUUAUAAUAAUAAUAAUAAUCAUCAUCAUAACAAAUGCUCAUGUAGUACUUAUUAUGUGCUGGCACUUUUCUAAGUGCUUGACAUUUAUUAACUUAUUAACUUCAUUAACUUUUGAAAUAAGUACUAUUCUCAUCUUACAAAUGACAAAAUUAAAAUGCAGAAAGAAAAAUGUUAAAUUGCUUAAAAUCACACAAAUGGAAAGUGAAGUCUGAAGUCAUAACAUUGAGAACAUAAUAAGAUUGGCUAGAAGUGAAAAAAAUCGACAUGUCUCUAUAGAAUGAGAAAAGAAAUUCACUUUUUUCACAUUAGAGAAAUUGCGGCAGCCCAGUAAUAAUCUAGAGAAACUGCCAAAGAUAGGCAUAGGACUUAGAGAAAGUUCCAAGCAAUGUGGUGGAUACUGACCCUCAAAGAAGAAACAAUCGUUAAAAAUUUCCUAGAUCAAGAUAUGAUGUAGGAAGUGUCAACAGAUGUCCUAAUAUACAAAUAAAAUAUUGCUACUCUAUGUUAUUCUAAAUAUUAUAUAUGUCUGUCUGCAAUAUGUUUUGUAUGUUAUUCUACCC
Molecule: long non-coding RNA, 3136 nt
Filed under: Homo sapiens (human)
Lineage: Eukaryota; Metazoa; Chordata; Mammalia; Primates; Hominidae
Description: HSALNT0351550
Source: RNAcentral